UACGUAGGGUGCGAGCGUUAAUCGGAAUUACUGGGCGUAAAGCGUGCGCAGGCGGUUGUAUAAGUCAGAUGUGAAAUCCCCGGGCUCAACCUGGGAACUGCAUUUGAGACUGUACGGCUAGAGUGUAGCAGAGGGGGGUAGAAUUCCACGUGUAGCAGUGAAAUGCGUAGAGAUGUGGAGGAAUACCGAUGGCGAAGGCAGCCCCCUGGGCUAUUACUGACGCUCAUGCACGAAAGCGUGGGGAG
Molecule: ribosomal RNA, 245 nt
Filed under: uncultured bacterium
Lineage: Bacteria
Description: partial 16S ribosomal RNA
Rfam family: Bacterial small subunit ribosomal RNA
Source: RNAcentral